AAAGUCGUAACAAGGUUUCCGUAGGUGAACCUGCGGAAGGAUCAUUAAAAAGUUACCACCGGCCAAGGCCGGGAGGAAGCGUUGCGGGUCGUCUCCCCCCUUCCGGGGGGGUUGAUGGCCCACAGCCCUUACACCCCUUGUGAAAAACCCCUGUUGCUUCGGCAGCCCCCGCGGUUCCUCGGGAUCGCGGCGGUAAGCCUGCCGACGGCACCCCCCUUCGAAAUUCAUUAAUGCAAAGCAGAGUAAACCAUGUCUGAGCGCAAAGUCGAAUUGACUAUAAAACUUUCAACAACGGAUCUCUUGGUUCCC
This 309-nucleotide unclassified non-coding RNA is filed under the name Ascomycota sp. RNAcentral describes it as "partial contains small subunit ribosomal RNA, internal transcribed spacer 1, and 5.8S ribosomal RNA". The stretch from base 1 to 47 matches the Rfam family "Eukaryotic small subunit ribosomal RNA", at positions 1785 to 1831 of the family's 1831-position model. The record is from RNAcentral. Lineage: Eukaryota; Fungi; Ascomycota.